Molecule: ribosomal RNA, 613 nt
Filed under: Stictotarsus procerus
Lineage: Eukaryota; Metazoa; Arthropoda; Insecta; Coleoptera; Dytiscidae
Description: partial 16S ribosomal RNA
Rfam family: Bacterial large subunit ribosomal RNA
Source: RNAcentral
AUAAUUUAAGGUCUGACCUGCCCACUGAAGUAUUUUAAAUGGCCGCAGUAAAUUGACUGUGCAAAGGUAGCAUAAUCAUUAGUUUUUUAAUUAAAAGCUUGUAUGAAUGGUUUGACGAAAUAAAAUCUGUCUCUAAAUAACAAUAAGAAUUUAAUUUUUAAGUUAAAAAGCUUAAAUAAUAUUAAAAGACGAGAAGACCCUAUAGAUCUUUAUAUAACAUUUUAUAUUUUUAUUUAAGAUUUUUAUAUUUAUUAUAUUAUUUUAUAUUUUAUUGGGGUAAUAAAAAGAUUAAAUAAAUUCUUUUUAAAUUUAUACAAAGAUUAUUGUUUAUAUGAUCCUUUAUUAAAGAUAAUAAGAUUAAGUUACCUUAGGGAUAACAGCGUAAUUUUUUUGGAGAGUUCAUAUCGAUAAAAAAGUUUGCGACCUCGAUGUUGGAUUAAAAAUUAUUCUAGGUGUAGUAGUUUAGAAAUUUUGGUCUGUUCGACCAUUAAAUUUUUACAUGAUCUGAGUUCAGACCGGUGUAAGCCAGGUCGGUUUCUAUCUUUAUUAAAUUAUUAUAUUUUAGUACGAAAGGACCAAAUAUAAAAUAUAUUAAUAUUUGUUUUUUGAAUAU